Lepus europaeus (European hare) is the source of this 468-nucleotide long non-coding RNA. RefSeq lists it as uncharacterized. The record is from RefSeq and is a predicted model, not a curated record. The transcript is spliced from 4 exons. NCBI's taxonomy places the organism in Eukaryota, Metazoa, Chordata, Mammalia, Lagomorpha, Leporidae.
GCCUGGAGGAGGAAGGACGUGGUCCGCCCCGCCUCGGUGGUCAGCGCGGUCAGCGCGGUCAGCGCGGAACUACCAUGUAUUCUGUUACCUCCUGGCAGGCGCAAGUGAAAAAGAGAGUUUAGCAUUCCACCUUAAACAGCCAGAAGAGUAUCACUAUCUCAAUCAGGAUCUUCUUUCAGCAAUACUGAUUUGGGUAGUAUCUGUUACAAGAAGGCAUACCGGGACGACUCCCUUGAUAUCUGUAAUCCUGAAGUUCUGCCUGUUGUCUCAGAAUUAUUAGAAGAGGAAGCCACCAGGAUGGUGUGCAAUGUGUGCUUCCACGUGAUGGGAUGUUACCCGGCAGUAAAAAGAAUUCCCUCUCAAGCCGCACAUGUGGAGAAAUUGUAAAUGCCCCCUUCUGAGUGAAAGAAGCCAAUCUGAAAAGGCUGCUUACUCUGAUUCCAGCUGUGUGGCAACUGGGAAAAGGCA